AGUACUUGCAGAGCAUGCAUUUGAUGUUGCUGACCCUAGAAAGUGCUUUGACAAGAUAUGACAAAUGGUAAAUUCGUUCUGAGCGUAAAUGCCCUGAAGGACCUAGAAACUGUAUUCUAACAAAAGAUAGGAUGCAACAGCUGGAUCUUCUUCCAUUUGAUUAGAAUUUGUUGUUCUGCCUUGCCCCUCCUGAAUAGGUCGUUUACCACUUCCAGGAAAGAAAAAAUGUCAAAAAGAGUCAAAAAGACAGCCUCAGAAGCCUGAAAAAAUGUCAAGAAGACAGCCUCAAGAGUCUGAGCCUUAGUACUAAGAAGCAUCCAGGCCUCAAAAAUGAGAGAGAGAAAGAAGGAUGGAAGAGAGGAUAAGGGAAGGAGGCGUAAGAAAG
RNAcentral lists this long non-coding RNA (385 nucleotides) under Chinchilla lanigera (long-tailed chinchilla). RNAcentral's name for it is "lncRNA (ENSCLAG00000025529.1)". The record is from RNAcentral. Lineage: Eukaryota; Metazoa; Chordata; Mammalia; Rodentia; Chinchillidae.